RNAcentral lists this transfer RNA (63 nucleotides) under Gyrodactylus derjavinoides. RNAcentral describes it as "tRNA-Val". The record is from RNAcentral. Lineage: Eukaryota; Metazoa; Platyhelminthes; Monogenea; Gyrodactylidea; Gyrodactylidae.
UUUAGCAGCAUAAUUAGUAAUCUAAAGAGAAUAUACUAAUUUGGUAAAGUUCUUCAGAAUAUA